Armigeres subalbatus is the source of this 618-nucleotide long non-coding RNA. RefSeq lists it as uncharacterized. The record is from RefSeq and is a predicted model, not a curated record. The transcript has 4 exons. NCBI's taxonomy places the organism in Eukaryota, Metazoa, Arthropoda, Insecta, Diptera, Culicidae.
GUUUUGUUUAUGAUUAGUGGAAUGAAAAAAUGAAACUGAUGUUGUGGUGCAGGAAGUGUCCCUUCAUUACGGAUUCUGGGAGUGGGCAAGCGGCGGAUCAUAGGCUGCUGUAUCGUGAAGGAAGUUUAUGGUAAGACCACGUAAGACUGAAUAUCGUUCGGCAGCUAUUAUUGGCCUAUCUUACCAAUUAGAUACAAUAAUAACUGAUACAGGUUCAUACAUAACCUGAUGUGUUAGAGAAAACGACUAAAUUCGAUUCACCCACUCAAGAAAAAACAAAUCAUAUAUAAGUCCUAUAGGAGACGCUCCCUUUCCUGGUGGCUGAAAUUACAGCGUGCUCAGCGAGUAUAGCGAGUUUCCGACGGGUUUAUAUGAUAUUUCCUAAUGCGAAAAUUACGAGUAAAGUUGAGCAAAUCGUGAAAAACUAAAAUCAAGAUUCACAUGGAUAUUUCGCAUGGGCAGUUCUCAAUGUGUAUUUUCGCCUACUAUGCAGGACAACGUCUGCCGGGUCAACUAGUACUGAAAUAAAAUUAAAUUUAAAUCGUAUCGAUAAAAUAAAUUGUAGGACAUAAAGUUGUAUUGUUUUUCUAUUGUAAUAUUAGAGUAAAAUGUAUUCUA